Cyprinus carpio carpio is the source of this 1715-nucleotide long non-coding RNA. The record is from Ensembl. NCBI's taxonomy places the organism in Eukaryota, Metazoa, Chordata, Actinopteri, Cypriniformes, Cyprinidae.
AGCAAAUUUUUCACAGUUAAUCACUACAAACAGCACAGAAUGUAAAAAUCUAGUGUAAAAUAUAGGUUCCACAUGUUGUGUCUGUUCUUGAACGAAUGGUUGUGAAAUUGUGUGUCCAAAUAUUUACUCAAACAUAAGUCUAAGAGGAUUACGAGUCCAUUUCUCCAGCUCAAAGCCGAGCCACAGCCCUGGCAGUGUUCCACAUCUGAUGGGACUUUAAAUAGCAGCGGUGGAUCAUUCACACCGUCUGUAAGAGAGCUGGAACACGGCCAACCUGGAAACAGCUUUAUUCUUCAUUUCCUCUGACCUUGGCAUGUAAAUUACAUUUUUAAAUUCUAACAACACUCAAUGUCAAGGCCAGAGACUCAAACGUAGCUCCGUUUCAAUCAUUUAGAGCUAAUUAUCAACAUGAUCAACAGUAGAAGUUCGUUUUGCUGCUUUGUGAUUAUCAUCACGUUAUUGGCUUUGAGUAUCAUCACAUGAGGGUUCAAGGACCGAUUGUGGCAUUGAAAUACAGCUAUAAAAAUGGGAGCUUCAGUAAUAUGAGAAAUAUGAAGCAAUCAAAUGUUCCUUUCCUCUAGAAAACACAAACACCAUAAUCAUUAACCUCUUAUCCAGCCAAAAUUAUCUGAGAGUAGAACACAUGUUGUUCAUAUUCAGCCUAAUUGCGCUGCUGUUUUUAGAUUAUACAGUCUUAAUUAUUAGUAAUGGCCAGUCAUUGUGUUGAGGAGCUACAAUAACAGUAAGGUAACGGAUAGCUUCCAGAACAUGUGUAGGUGGGCCAAGCACUACAAAGAGCGACUGAUGGCUUUAAUAGGAUCUGUGGCUGUGCUGCUUUGAUGCUGCCGCUGGUUUAUACACUGGGUGGAGGUCCUCGCUUGAGCUUCACCACACCUUUACACCAUGUGUCACUGAUACCAUACUCCAUUAUGACAGCGAUGCUAUAUACACAUGUAGAUAAUGCUGUACAGCCUCACCAGAGAAGCUGAGUGAUGUUCACAAGACCUCAAGGACGAGAAAAACAACUCUUUAUGAAGAAAACAUGAGUGCUAAACUGAGUGACUAUGCUAUGUGGUUUCUAUAAAGUUACUAGGGUGAGCUGCGUGUUUUCCAGGGCAUAUACAACUGUUAGGGUGUUCUACUGUAGGUGGUUGCUAUACAGUUGCUAGGGUGUUCUAUGUAGUUGCCAACUUGUUGCUAAGCAGUUGUUAGGAAGUUGUUAGGGUGAUCUGCGUGUUUUCCAGGGCAUAUACAACUGUUUGGGUGUUCUACUGUAGGUGGUUGCUAUACAGUUGCUAGGGUGUUCUAUGUGGUUGCCAGCAUGUUGCUAAGCAGUUGUUAGGAAGUUGUUAGGGUGAUCUGCGUGUUUUCCAGGGCAUAUACAACUGUUAGGGUGUUCUACUGUAGGUGGUUGCUAUACAGUUGCUAGGGUGUUCUAUGUGGUUGUCAGCGUGUUGCUAAGCAGUUGCUAGGAAGUUGUUAGGGUGAUCUGCAUGUUUCCCAGGGUGUUGUGAUACAGUUGCUUGUGUGUUAUAGAUGGUUGCUGUGCAGCUUUUAGGGUGUCUUUUAUCCAGAGCAAAUUACACCUAUUUGUAAGCCGAUUUGGAUAAAAGUGUCUGCUAAAUGACUAAAUGUAAGGUGGUUGCUAUGUAGUUGCCAGGGUAUCUUUUAUCCAAAGCCAGUUUGUAAUUUUUCUAAUAUCAGACUAAAAUGUU